UGUGCUAGGUGGGGAGUUAGCGGUGCCCUGUAUCUGCAAUCCGCUACAGCAGAGCCGAACGCCGUCCCCGGUUUUUAUAUGGGAGGCCGCUUCCGGUAAGGGGCGUUGAUCGUAGGGUCUCAUGCAACGGAGCCCUGUGAACCGUGUCAGGGCAGGAAUGCAGCAGCACUAAGCGGACAGCUUCGUGUGCCAUGAGGUAGCUUUACGGGAGUUACCUGCCGGAAUAACGCUC
This 232-nucleotide signal recognition particle RNA is filed under the name human gut metagenome. RNAcentral's name for it is "Bacterial large signal recognition particle RNA". It matches the Rfam family "Bacterial large signal recognition particle RNA", at positions 3 to 229 of the family's 256-position model. From Rfam's summary of the family: The signal recognition particle (SRP) is a universally conserved ribonucleoprotein involved in the co-translational targeting of proteins to membranes. Archaeal SRP consists of a 7S RNA and homologues of the eukaryotic SRP19 and SRP54 proteins. In most bacteria, the SRP consists of a 4.5S RNA and the Ffh protein (a homologue of the eukaryotic SRP54 protein). The record is from RNAcentral.